GUCACAGACCUUUGAUUUGUAGAACACCCGCUAUCUGUGAGGCACAGAUGAAGUGCCGGGAGAUAAGGUCUUUAUCCAGAAGCAGCAAGAUGAUUAAAGAAUGGAAAUGGGUCAAGGGUGAAAUGGAUAACGAAACCUGUCCAGGAGAUAAGCCCAGGGCAUUGCUUAGUGAUGAG
Lontra canadensis (Northern American river otter) is the source of this 176-nucleotide long non-coding RNA. RefSeq lists it as uncharacterized. The record is from RefSeq and is a predicted model, not a curated record. The transcript is spliced from 3 exons. Lineage: Eukaryota; Metazoa; Chordata; Mammalia; Carnivora; Mustelidae.